Molecule: ribosomal RNA, 492 nt
Filed under: uncultured bacterium
Lineage: Bacteria
Description: partial 16S ribosomal RNA
Rfam family: Bacterial small subunit ribosomal RNA
Source: RNAcentral
AGUGAACGCUGGCGGUAGGCCUAACACAUGCAAGUCGAACGGCAGCACAGUAAGAGCUUGCUCUUACGGGUGGCGAGUGGCGGACGGGUGAGGAAUACAGCGGAAUCUACUUUUUCGUGGGGGAUAACGUAGGGAAACUUACGCUAAUACCGCAUACGACCUACGGGUGAAAGCAGGGGAUCUUCGGACCUUGCGCGAGUGAAUGAGCCGAUGUCGGAUGAGCUAGUUGGCGGGGUAAAGGCCCACCAAGGCGACGAUCCGUAGCUGGUAUGAGAGGAUGAUCAGCCAGACUGGAACUGAGAAACGGUCCAGACUCCUGCGGGAGGAAGCAGUGGGGAAUAUUGGAGGAGGGGCGCAAGGCGGAUCCAGCCAUACCGCGUGAGUGAAGAAGGCCUUCGGGUUGUAAAGUCCUUUUGUUGGGAAAGAAAAGAAGCACGUUAAUACCCCGAUGUUCUGACGGUACCCAAAGAAUAAGCACCGGCUAACUUCGUG